AACUGCCACUAGUGAUGCCUCGUACUACUACUAUAUAUCUCGACGGGUCUUCCACUACUACCACUAACAACAACUGAUGGUCUUGCUCGGGCUUGAGUUGCUACUAUCGCAAUACAAGUUGGUUUAGACAAUUGGCGAUGAUGACACAACCCUUGCUCCCGAUCGACGGACUCCAUUGCAAUCCCCGAUACCCCCCCACUUCCCAGGACCAGCCGCUGCUCUAUACUAUAACACUAAACAACUAGGCAUGGACUAGGUCGGCAACUAUAGAACGAGCUUGGUGGUGCGCCACUACUAUCAACUACUGGUACUCCAAUAAUACGGGCUAGGUGUGGCUCUACUUAAAACAGCAUGGGCCGGGCUAGUUGGUACUACUAUCGCAACGACGAUCGUCGUUACUACUAUACUUGAACGCCACUAGGUGAACACCAUGCCUCCUACUAUACUCCAAGCAGGGUAGAUGAUGGUAGGUGGUGGUACUAUCAACUGCCGUAUCGCUACUAGACGACAGCAACCACAAAGUAUAAGCCUAUAUGCACAUGAGGUUACUAUGUACUUACUCCAACUAGCAACUGGCUAAUGCGAUCAUGGCUGCCGCAGCUGGUACUACUAUAUCGAGUGCAAUUGUUCAGUGGGCUGGCAACUUGAGGUUCAGUGCGUAUACGAGUGGGUCCGGGCAUCUUCGUUUACUAGUUGUUGAGGGACGUUGAGGGAGCUAGUUCAGUAACAUGGUGGGUUUGGUCAGGGUUGUUGGCAUGGUCGUAUAUGGAGCAUGGAUAAGCAAUGAGUAAACAGUCGGAUCUCACUCGUUAACUGGCUGACACUGAUAGGCUACUAGUAGUCUGCCUUCGGAGCACUCACUAAACGGAACGAAGCUCGAGAGUCAACCCGGCAUGUGCAGUAAAUAAGCGGCACGUAUGGGUAGUGGGGCAGUACGAAACAACUGAGUGUUCAUUGAAUGUGAAAGUAGUAGCUAGUGAGGGGGGGAGUCGAAGCUGCUACAGUUGCAGCAUCAAGUUCAUCUGGGGCCAGCUUCAAGGAACGCGUGGAGAGCCACCAAGUAAGUUGUUACGACCAAUUGAGGAGAGAAGGAGAGCAGCCAAGUGAGCUUCAACCAAUACGAACAUGUUUCACAACCAAAGACGACUGACUACUAUUCUUAUAAACUCUACUAACUAGCGAUUUACUGUAACAUCGUUGGACUGAGUUCGGAUGUCCCCAGCGACUGUGCAAUGGAAGUUUUGGUGUUCAAGUAGUAAACCCGUACCUCGUAAGGGUCUUUAUUGCCUACCCUUAUGACUAAAGCACCUUCUAUAGUAGUAAUCGUAGUCCGUGCUCUCUAGUGUUAUACCUCUCUCCAUCCAGCAGUACCUCGUAUUCUACUGUGUGGGAGAACACCCUUAACUCGAACGUUAGUGUCUUGCUAGUCAGUCUCUCUGGGUUCUCUUGUUUGCCGGCAUACUAUCCUCCAAAGCUUCUUAGCCUUAGUGUGUGCUAACCAGGCUACUAUAAGAAAAAAAUCAAGCCUUGUAGUAAGAC
RNAcentral lists this long non-coding RNA (1539 nucleotides) under Amborella trichopoda. RNAcentral's name for it is "long non-coding RNA (ATRI_LNC000015)". Lineage: Eukaryota; Viridiplantae; Streptophyta; Magnoliopsida; Amborellales; Amborellaceae. The record is from RNAcentral.